UGGGGAAUAUUGGGCAAUGGAGGAAACUCUGACCCAGCAAUGCCGCGUGAGUGAUGAAGGUAUUUUAUUGUAAAGCUCUUUUCUCGGGAACGAAUAAAUGACGGUACCUGAGGAAUAAGCCCCGGCUAACUACGUGCCAGCAGCCGCGGUAAUACGUAGGGGGCGAGCGUUGUCCGGAAUGACUGGGCGUAAAGGGUGUGUAGGUGGUUUGCUAAGUUAGAUGUGUAAUACCCAGGGCUUAACUCGGGUGCUGCAUCUAAAACUGGCAGACUUGAGUGCUGGAGAGGAUAGCGGAAUUCCUAGUGUAGCGGUGGAAUGCGUAGAUAUUAGGAGGAACAUCAGUGGCGAAGGCGGCUAUCUGGACAGUAACUGACACUGAGGCACGAAAGCGUGGGGAGCA
Molecule: ribosomal RNA, 400 nt
Filed under: uncultured bacterium
Lineage: Bacteria
Description: bacterial SSU rRNA
Rfam family: Bacterial small subunit ribosomal RNA
Source: RNAcentral